AUGAAACUAUUAUGUGCGGUGCUGCCAUGGCUACUCUCUGUGGGGGAGCUUCAAGCAAAUGUAAAAUCUUUGUAUCCUGACUCUGAAACUACUGAUGUGGUCAAACCUCAGCAGGUCUCAGGUUACCAGUCCAACCUUCAGCUCCGGCUUCCCAACUAUCGGCCCUGGUCACAUUUCCAGAUUCCUAAUUAUCAGUCCUGGUCAGAUUCCCAGGUUCCCAAUUACCAGUCCUGGUUGCGUUCUGAGGUUCCCAACUAUAAGCCUUGGUCACAUUACCAGAUUCCCAACUAUAAGCCUUGGUCACAACACCGGGUUCCCAACUACCAGGCUUCGUUGCCGUCCCAGGUUUCCAGGUAUCAGGUCUGGCCUCAAUCCCCAGUUCCAGCCCACCAAUACCAGGUUGAAUUCCAGGAUCAGGCCUUCCAGAGCAGUACUGUGCCUCAAAGUCAGGGCACCCAGAGAAGGCCUCAGACUUGGAGGCAAGUACAGAAUUCCCAGCACAAGUUUCCGACACGUACCCAGAGGCAGGGCUCUCAGCGCAGGCUUCAGAUUGAGACCCGGAGACAGGGCUCCCAGGAUAUCCUUCAGACUCAGCCUCAAAGCAGAACUUGGCCUUCUCCUAGGGGCAGGGCUUUUCCCAUAGACAACCAUCAAGCUUGGAAAUAGGCUUAAUUAGAGCACAGGAGGAUGCUCAAGAUAUGUCAGAAAAUGCAUCUUUAACUACUUGGACCCAAUUAAAAUUAUCUUUGUAAAAAUAGUAAUAAAGAAACUUCUAUUUGUUACUUGCUGCGAAGCAAAUCUCUUCACUCCUGGAACUGAGAACUUCUGUACAUGCUGCACAGAAGUGUCUCAGAGGCCAAACUGCUGAUCUACUUUACUAGCUUGCACCUACUGCAGACAUGUGCAUCUGCUCCAAUAAGGUGUCGGUUGAGGGAGAUUACGGUCUUUGCUCCAUACAGUGAAGGAAAAUGGAGAGUGUGGUAUUGGGUGAGGGUGCUCUAUGUUUGGAUGGAGCACUGCUGAGCAUAUUUUAGGUUAAUUUCCCCCUUUUAGAUGAGGUCUUUGUAACAAAGUUAAGCUGUUGGGUUUGGCUGGUUUAAAGGGUGACCCACUACCAAAAUACUAAGAGUAAAUGAGUCACUUCUAAAGGCCACUGAAGCUGUUUUGUUCUCACAUGUUGGCCAACAACCUAACAAAAGGUUGGCCUUUUUGUCACCCACAUGUCGAUUCCUAGAAGUAUUUCGAGUUUUGCAACAAAGCGAGCAAACCUACGAUGGUGCUUGGGUUCGAUCAUGAAUAGUCUAACCUUUGUGCCUCCCUGACUUCUAAUUAAAAUCAAGAGUAGUGGAACUAAAAUCAGAUUAGUGAUGUUUUGCUGCAGCGUUUAAAGUUUGUCUUAACAGGCCAUUCACCACCUGAAUUUUCUGCUUUGCAUGAAUCAGUGAAUUUGAAGUUGACACAUUCCUUGUGGUGUAUUUAACACUUACAGUUUGGGUAUUGUGACUUCCCCCUGCCGCUUGACAAAUUGGAGAAGUCAGCCCAGCAACUGUCCUGCAAGGUUUUUAGUAAUGUAUUUAAAGGGGACCUGUUAUUCUUCCCAACUCUAAAUUGUUUUGGACUGGUGUGGCUCUUUAGCUUAUCCUCUUCCUGAAACGAGCUAAACUAGCAGAGGGUAGAACACAGAAAAUACAUGAAUGGAGAAACUGAAGUUCAUGCAGAAGAUUAUGAGUACUGCUGUGAAACUGCUUGGGUUUCAUUUUCAAUCAAUUCGAUGGGGACAGUCUAUUCGCCAGUCAACUGACAAAUGCUUGAGCCCCAAGGUCAGUGGGUGGCCUGUGAAGACUAAGAGUGGCAAAGCAGAAACCUGACUUGCCUAAUUGGGGCCCACCUCCCUCCUUGUAAGCAGUAUUCAUAAUUUUGUUCAAGCAAACUCAAUUUCAAGGCCAACACAAGAAAAGAGAGAAGGGGGGGGCAUAUGAUAAAUAAAUAUAAUGCUAAAUGCAGCUAAUCUGGCCUUAAAUUUGGGGGAGAAAUAUGAGCAGAAAUCUGUGCCAUCAGAAACUGAAUUUGAAUAAGUUAAAUUUGAAUUGCUCGGAUUGAAUCUGACUUGUAACUUGAAUAAAUGCUUUUAAAAACUGAAUAUGAAUUGGCCUAAUUUGAAAUUCAAUUUAUUGGUUUGAAAAUGAUCAUCACUAAAUUGAAAUUGAAUUUUAUUUUUGAAAAUGAAUUCAUUUGCUUUGAAACUGUAUUUUAUCCUUUAAAAAUUUAGUUCUCGAAUAAUUUCACUUCUCACCAUUCAGUUUCAGUUUCAAUUCCAAAAUUCAGUUUUUUGGAACUUACUUCCGGUUCAAGAUGAGCGCAGAUUAAUAGAACUACGUUUUACUAGCGGACCGAAAGUGUUACUGACGGGAAUCUACAGCGUCUUGAGCUGAAUUAAGACUUCAGAAGUCAUUCGUCAUGUCGAAUGACCAGCGGAUAAACUCUCAGGUUGGUAAUAAAUGUAUUACAUGUAUAAGAACAAGCGUCAUGUUAACAAUUGAUAGCCGUACAGUAACUUUUAUGCUUAUUGUAGCUGUUAGCUAAAAACGCUAAUUUAGCCUAGUUUGCCCUGAUUUCAGCUUUGACAAACAAAUAUGAUCGACUGUUUCUAGUAGAAUUCCAAAGUUGUCAUCUUGUACCCUGUCAGAGCCCUGUAUGCUUGCAGAGACCCCUACAGUAGGGAAACAUGCAAAACAGUGUCCAAACCUUUGUAUUUGAGCUUUAUUUAUGUCUUACACAGCAUCCCAACUCUUUAGCUAACUUAAUAACUUUAGCUAAAGUGAAUAGUUAGUCUAAUUCAUUAGUGCAGCGUUACUGGAUCACCUCUGUUUGAAGUAAUAUAAUAUGAUAUACAACUAUCACUGAAACAGCAAACUUUGUAAAUAAACAACACUUCUCAUUCUCUAAACGUUUGGCCACAGCUGUAGAUUACACUAUCAGUGCUUUUUCACUCUUGACAAUAAUUACAUUUCUAAAUUCUCUUUGUGCAUUUACAGGUAAACAAUAUCUAAUAUUUUAUCUAAAUGACUGCUUUGUCUUUGAAAAGGUGAAGAGCCUGAGGCCGGUGACACUCCAGUUCUACUCCAAGUACAUCCUUACGAUGGCUCACAGGACAAGGCUACAUUCCUGUCCUGCCAGAAGAGAAGAGAUUCAAAUUCAGUUUCUGAUGGCACAGAUUUCUGCCCAUAGAGAAAUGCCUGAUAAGCUUCCACUAGCAUAACAUUAUUUAUUAACUUUGACCUUUAACAUUGUUUUAACUUGCAAAGCAAGCAGCUGUGGUUGGACCACUGAAGCAACAUGUUAGCAAAAUUUUUGUAGUUAUAAAUUUCACUCACUUGCAGUCAAAAGCUUUAGAGGUUUUUCUUUUGUUUAAAGUGUAUCCACUGGUUCAAAUUCUGUCGUGAAAACCUGCCAGUUUGAAAAAUUGAAAAUUCAAAAGGCUAAGGAAGUUUUCCACUUAAUGCGUAUCUCCAGAGGAACUUUGGCUCUUGUAUCCCCCUUUUGGAAGAGAUUUUUUUUUUUUUUUUUUCCCCCCCCUGUUGUGCUGUAAAUGGAGACGGUGUAGAUCACAAAUAAGGCCCAUCUGAAACCUCUGAGAUGAGUUUGUGUUCAAUGGAUGGUCAGUAUGCUGGAGAAGAUCAUGUGAUAUAAGGAUCAUGGCAGCAAUGUAUGCGAGCAAGAUAAAUAGUAUGGUGGAUUAUAUAAGAGGAUUAUGAAAAAACAGACAUGUUUGUAUAUGUAACAUGAAUAAAAGUGCAAAACUGUAAAUGCUGUGAUAUUCUGUAUAAUGCUAUAUGAGUUGGCUCGUUGGUAUCUGGUGUAUUGCUGUCCUUCCAAACAUCACUCUUAUUUUAUUCUGGAAUUGGUUUUAAUUUAUUUUCAGAAUGACUGUGUCUCACAUCAGAAUGCAGAAGUUUCAUUAUUCAAGUCUGAGUUGUUUGUAUUUUGCUUUGUUCAGAAACUUAGUCCAGUAAGAACAGAGCUGAAAGAAAAGCUAUUAACCUCUCAGGGAAGAGUCAGGGCAGACUGUGAGGCAGUGCAAUAAGGAGAGAUAAGCUGGAAGAACUGAACGUGAUUUACUGAGCAUACAAAUGAAUGUAUCUGGCGAUUAGAUUCCGAUGGGCCAUCAUGGCAGAAUGGAGUCAAAGCUGUGACUGGAUUUAGGACGGGACACCCAUGGCGUCUAGAUGCUGGUGGUGGUGAAGAUGAAGAUUGAGGCUUGGAUGGAGCUCUUACUGAGGUGCCUGUAAGAUGGAGGUGGGUUGCAUGAAUGAGAAUCUGAAAGGGAGAAUGACGGAGAGCAUAGAUUUAAACCAUGCAAAGUGGAGGCUGAUUAGCUCAGAGAAGGUGGGCAGGAAGAUGAUUGGACUAGAGCACAGAUGUUAGUAUUGAGACAGACACCGUGCGAAAGUGGUAAAGUUGUUGACCUGUGUGCUGGGCCAAGCAGAAGGAUUCAGAGGGGAGAGUUCAGAUAACAUGAUUGUAGCUUAUAGUGCAAAGUGGAUGCUUUGUUGUGAUAACUUUUUCACUCUUUUAGAAUGAGUGACUCAUUUCAGCUGUGCAACUGUGGAUGAUAUCUUGGAGAUUAAUUAAAUCUCAUAGUUGAAGAGUAACAAAAAUGAAUUUUGUCCUACUUUGGUGUGUGGAUGACUCAAAGGUGAAAUUCGAAAACGCACAAGCUUUAAUGCACCUGAAACUGACUCCAGAUGUAAGUGAUUCAGAGCACACUCAUCUUAUUUGUUAAACUAACUGAAUGAUAACUGAAAAGGUGCUCGUCAGUGAUUUCAUACUGGGUGCUUUGGCAGAAUGCCUCCAUCCACAGCUCAGCAAAUGCUUUGAACUGCAUUUAGAAGCAUCACUUAUAACAAAGACAGCCUAAUGCUCUGCACAUCCUCACUUGUUCCAGUCUUUUUCUUGCUAAUUUAAUUUGACCACUUGAUGAAUACUCAGUCCUCCCAGUGAUUCCUGGUGAUGCCUUUACUGGCAAAUGUUUAUGUUAUGUAGUGAUCACAUAUAAAUGUCUGUCCUGUUUUUGUUACGUUCUGAAGCUACUGGUUUUAAAAGUGCCAUUUUUAAAAUCAGGGGACAGAGCCCUCCAUGUUUUAUUUUUUGUAUUUAAAAGACUCUCAUUAGGGGUUAUACAAACUAUAUCUCCAAGUUACUGGACUAACAUUGUCAUCAAUAAGCCAGGAAAGCAUAAAUUUAAACAGGACUUC
This 5255-nucleotide long non-coding RNA is filed under the name Oreochromis niloticus (Nile tilapia). RNAcentral describes it as "lncRNA (ENSONIG00000030000.1)". The record is from RNAcentral. Lineage: Eukaryota; Metazoa; Chordata; Actinopteri; Cichliformes; Cichlidae.